Molecule: long non-coding RNA, 671 nt
Organism: Zea mays
Lineage: Eukaryota; Viridiplantae; Streptophyta; Magnoliopsida; Poales; Poaceae
Exons: 2
Source: RefSeq, a predicted model, not a curated record
CUCGUGGCAAUGAUUUGUGAGUUUAGUGCAAAUAUGGUGGCCGUAUAAAGUUCAUUUCCACUGCUAAUCUUCGUUGUGGUUGCUCUGCCAGAAUGGCUUCGGCAGUCUGCACAAAUGGUUCCCUGCAAGCUCUGCAAACGGGUCCCUCUUCUCUCUCGGGCUCCCACGAGGCCACAAGUCCAUAACGCCUGCACGGAGCGGAGCCGGAGCCGGCGACGACGACGAACGGCGGCGCCUCGGUUUCUCCGCGGAGCAUUCGGCCGCAGCCGCUGCAACGGCUUGCAGCUACUCUGUUGUGGCCGAUUUGGGUCCCCAAGCAGCAAUGCAGCAGCACGAUAGACUUGUCUACUUGUCGUUCCAUCUUCAUCAGCUGUUCUGUUGACCAAGAUGUGGCGCUCACGUCUGCACGAACCGGAUCCAAUUCUUUUGCCCUCGGUCUCCCUCCUGCUUUAGUUGACCUCAGAUGUCGGCUGCCACUUUGCAGUGUACUGUAACCUGUAUAUCUACCUAUUGUAUUUCAAAAAGGAAUACCGCAGAUCGAAGCCAUGUAUUUCAAAAGUUUCUUUUGUGGCAUGUAUUUCAAAAGUUUAUAACUUGCAUAUGUGAACUCCAGAUUGCAUAUGUUAAUAAUUUCAGUUGUUACCGGACAUGUAUUUCAAAAGUUUAUCUUU